Molecule: non-coding RNA, 4082 nt
Organism: Zonotrichia albicollis (white-throated sparrow)
Lineage: Eukaryota; Metazoa; Chordata; Aves; Passeriformes; Passerellidae
Source: RefSeq, a predicted model, not a curated record
UCCAUUUUUAGGGGGAGGCUGGAGGGUCUGGAGAGUCAGCAGUGGGAUUGCUUUGGGAAGGGCAUCAGGAAGAAGUGGAUCCUGGCAUAAUUGGCUUUGAGGGAUUUGCAGGCUGAAUAACGAAUGCAGGAAAAUUUGGUCACUCCUGCGCAGCGGGAAGUAUUCCUGUCCCAUCACCAGGGAGACCUUCAGCAGCCCAAAUAAAAAAGGAGACCUCAACAAGUGCAUGAUGUGCCAGAGGCUGCUGGAAAGAGACUCAGCUACCCAAGGGAGUGGUGGAGAGCUGGACAGGAAUGUGAACUCCUUGGGAAAGGACGAGUGUCGGGAGUUUCGGGAUCUGUUCAAGAGAGGGAAACUCACCUGCACCAGGGAGAACGACCCUGUCCGGGAUGCCUCUGGGAAGCAGCACAGCAAUAAGUGCAUCAUGUGUGCAGAGAAGUUCAAAAGGGAGAAUGAGCAGAAGUUAUCUAAAAACAGACAAGGAAAAGAUAAGGAUGACUGCAGCGAGUUCCGCUCCCAGUUUGAAGCCGGCGGCCGCCUGUCCUGCACCAGGGAGAAUGCCCCUGUCCGGGAUGCCUCUGGCAGGCAGCACACCAACAAAUGCCUCAUGUGUGCUGAGAGGUUCAAAAAGGAAGCUCAAAGAGGGGGUGGAACUCUCCAGCGCAACAAACUGCCUGCUUCAGAGAGGACAAAGCAGAAGAACUGUGGUGGCUCAAGGCAGGGUGUAAACGAGAGGCGUCCCUUCUCCUCGGGCAGAGGCCCUCAAGUGCAGCGUGGCAGGAACUGCAACCGGCCACCAGGCCGUAAGUCCCAGAGCAGAGACAGCCACGAGGACCCCACGCUGGACUGUGAGCGAAUUCUGCAUGGGGUAAAGGGUGGAAGGAUUUUCUGCAGCGAAUCCUCACAACCAGUCUGUGGCACUGAUGGGAAAACAUACAAAAAUGAAUGUGACUUGUGUUCAGCUGCCAUGAGAGCUUCAAACUUCAUCACGGUAAACUAUCGAGGCGAGUGCCAAGAGCCUGGCAAUGCAGUGGUAAGCAGCAAACCACAGCUGGGCUGCCAAACAUCAAUCUCUGCCUUUCCCCUGGUGGAAAUUCCCCAUUGGCACCAUGUCAGCCUGUGGUGACCUGAUCCAGGCAGCCACAAUGGGCAGUGAGGAAUGAGGAGUGGCUGGCACUCGCCAGCUGCCCACUGUGCCCUUCAGCAGGAGCUGGGUGUCCACACUGGGACCUCGCUGGCAGGUUAACAGAGUUAGCCUGUUCCCUCAGGUCACAGUGGGAUAAAGGCAUGCUCUCCAGCUGCUCUUCAGCCAUAUUGGCUGGGACGGAAGAGAGGUAUUGAGGCUCCUAUUUCUGUUUCAUUUUGUUCCUGGAGUGGAAUGAUGUCAAGAGGUGAAGAAAAGAAAGUGCCUCUUGGCUGUGUGUAGCAUCCCACUUUACUCUAAGUGCCUCCUGGGGAGCCAGCCUGGCUUCUGCACCUGUGACAGGACCAUAAGAGCCCCAGGAAUGGAUUCUCAUGGUCCAGAUGUUUAAAUACAGGUUGAGGCUCGGAUUUAAUGCAUAACCUGGGCAUAGUCUCCAUGUUUUGCUGAGGCUGCAUGGUAGGAGUGUGAUGUGUCUGGGAAAACACCUGACUUUCUUCUUGGCACUUUGAUGGAGCUAGGAAGAUCAGAAUGGUAUAAACCAUAAAGGGCUUGUUCCCCAGAUAAUAUCCAGGGAGAUGGUUGGGAAAUUAAGAUUAUUCACUAGGUGGCACACUUUUGGGAAAGGUCUUGAGCCUUGACAUCUUGUGCAAUCCCAUAGGGCAGAUGAGUUAAACAUUUCUUAGCUGUGCUUUGUCUUUCUACCAGUGGAAGCUGGACAGCCUCCAGCUCUGGGAUGUGGUGUCAGCGUCUCCCAGUUUGUGAUUCUGUGCAUGGGAUGUCCUGUAGCACCUGGGGAGGACUGUCCUCAUUGGCAUGAACUCUUGAGAAACUCAAUCCUUAUCCCCAGGAUAUAGAUCGAUUCCCACUCUAAACCUGUAGAGAAUCCAAAUAUUGAACGUACCAAAGAGAUUUCUGGGAAGUUUUGGGUGGGAGCAUUGGUUUCUGAGUAUGGAUGUGGUGUCCAUGUGUUUUUAGGUGCAGUGGGAUGUGGGCUAUGAGAGAGCCAUCCUGCCACAGUGUCAUUCCAUGCCUUCCUCUGCUCAGUGCCAGGACACCAGCAGAUCCCCCAAACACAGCAAAUCUGGCUUCUUUCCCCCUCUUCUCUGAAGCAGCAGAGUGCUCUAAACUUUGCUUAAAGUCAAAGAAAUUGCAGAGAGAAAUAAUUUUGCCUGUGACAGUCCUGGAGGCCUCUGUGUCUCAGUCCUUAGGGAGAUGGAGCUGCUGCUGGCCUGUGGGUACUGGGAGAUGAGGCACUACAAGAAUCUGUCAGUGACUGUGUCCAAGUCAGAAUGAGACUGGAUACACCAUGGCAACUGAAAAAUAGACAGGAUUCCCAAAAAACUGUGCUGGGUCUGGAAUUCCUUACUGUCUCACUGAGCUGUUACAGCUCUCAAGCCCUUGCAAUAAGAGGGAGAUGCCAUUUACUGGAAGUCAGAGAGCUUGCAGCUGUGUUAAGUAUUCCAAGGAGAGAUGGAUGCAAUUAGAAGUCAAAGUGCUAAGCUUUUUUCUUGAGUCAAGAAAAGCUAAAGCCCCCCCUGCACAAUGAUUUAUUCUUUAUGUUUAUUAAAGUCACCUGAAGAAUCAGGCUGGAAAUUUAUGGGAGCUUAUAAACAAUGUACAGAGCAAUGUUAUUUUCAGCACUAAAAUUCAUGCUCCCUUGCAGUAUAAUGAAUUUUUCUUUCUGCUGGAGAUUCAGGCACUCAAUAUAUGCUACUAAAACCUGGAGGAAAGCAGCUCCAGCCGUGCUUUUGGCAUCAGAAAUGGGUUUAGAGAGUUGCAAUGUGCAGAAUGUGAAAUCCUUUGGAAGAAGAUAAGAAAUUGUUACCCAAAAAUUGUAGUAUUUCCUUGAGUUGUAUUUUUAAAUUACCCACGGAGAGUGCUGGGUUGCCUGAGAAAAUGUGUGUUAAAGCUGCCUCAUCCCUUUGCAGCCCAGGGCCUGCAGCCACCCCCGCCUUCAAAGCUCCAGCUGGAUUUUCCAGGUGUUUCUGGUGGCUCUGGUGACCUGAUGGCCAUCAGGGAAGGAAGCUUGUGGGAAGGGUUGGGAGCAGUGUGGUUUGAGAGAGAUCUGACACUAAUGGGUGUAUGUGGGCAUGGCUGGGGUGGAAAACCUUGCUGCAGAGAGAACCUGUCCUCACUGGCCAGCACUGGGUCUGGCCACCUUCCCUGGGAGGUCUCUGCCAUAACUGAAUUCCUUUGAUCCCGUUCUGCUUUACUGAUGACAAAUAUAGGUCGGCAUCGUGGGAUAAGAUAUCUUUUUUUGGUAAGUUAACUGCCUGGUAGGUCCUGCAGGGCCAUGUCACGUGGAUCAAUUGAUUGUGGGUCUUUCCUGCACAUUUGACUUUUAAUCCUGCAUAUCUGCAGUUCCUUUACUUGUUCAAAGGUUUUUCACACUAAUCACCUGGGCAGUAGUCACCAGCCUGCCCACGCUGUUCAAUAGAUCAGGGAAAAAAGGGGUUAUCCAGGGUUUCUCCCUUUCUUUUUUAUACCUGUUUCUCAACAAACAGAUAACUCCCACGUUUGCAAUGGGCAAGUCCCAGUUUCCUUACAAUGCACUGUUUUUCCACACUACUUUUAAAGGUAGUGAAAGGAGGGAAAGAAAAAAAGCAGGACCUUUCCCAGAUUAGAAAAUAGGUGUGGAAAGCACCUAGCUUGAGGCUGAAAUCAGUCUUGUUUUCCUCAGCUGGCAGUGGCCCAGCCUGCCUGUCCUUGUGCCAGGCUCUGCUGCAGUUGUCUUGUGUGGCACUGAGCUGGCCUGAGGGGCUGUCACACUGAUACCAGCGUCACACAGAUGUGGUCAAGCUUGGGGAUGGGCUCAUUUUUUCUGCUCUUCCUUUCCAGGAGUAAUGGAGUUCAGACUGCCAGCAAACACCAGGGAUCAGCUGUGACCAAAGAGAAAGUAAAGGAAGCAUCGAUGUCGAGCAUCAGGGGAGCUGCUGAG